RNAcentral lists this unclassified non-coding RNA (213 nucleotides) under Hevea brasiliensis (rubber tree). The record is from RNAcentral. Lineage: Eukaryota; Viridiplantae; Streptophyta; Magnoliopsida; Malpighiales; Euphorbiaceae.
AUAUUUGACUUAAAAUUCAAAUCUCAACACCAACAUGGGAUCUCCUCUAGGGUAACUUAGUCUUGCUUGCAUACCAAGAGCUAAGUGAAUUAACAGACAAUGACAUGACUCAGGAAACACCUACUGACCAACUAGACCUUACCUUCACUAGACAGGAACAAGACAUUAGAACUGCAAUCAACGCAAAAAAAUUAAAAAAAAGAAAAGAAAAAA